Molecule: non-coding RNA, 27 nt
Filed under: Rattus norvegicus (Norway rat)
Lineage: Eukaryota; Metazoa; Chordata; Mammalia; Rodentia; Muridae
Source: RNAcentral
UGCCACUCACUCCUUUGCUCUCUGCUU